This 460-nucleotide ribosomal RNA is filed under the name uncultured bacterium. RNAcentral's name for it is "partial 16S ribosomal RNA". It matches the Rfam family "Bacterial small subunit ribosomal RNA", at positions 338 to 795 of the family's 1533-position model. The record is from RNAcentral.
CCUACGGGUGGCAGCAGUGAGGAAUAUUGGUCAAUGGACGCAAGUCUGAACCAGCCAUGCCGCGUGCAGGAAGACGGCUCUAUGAGUUGAAAACUGCUUUUGGACGAGGGUAAACGCAGAUACCCGCAUCUGUCUGACAGUAUCGGACGAAUAAGGAUCGGCUAACUCCGUGACAGCAGCCGCGGGAAUACGGAGGGGUCAAGCGUUAUCCGGAUUUAUUGGGUUUAAAGGGUGCGUAGGCGGUCGGAUAAGUUAGAGGUGAAAUCCCGAGGCUCAACUUCGGAAUUGCCUCUGAUACUGUUCGGCUAGAGAGUAGUUGCGGUAGGCGGAAUGUAUGGUGUAGCGGUGAAAUGCUUAGAGAUCAUACAGAACACCGAUUGCGAAGGCAGCUUACCAGGCUACAUCUGACGUUGAGGCACGAAAGCGUGGGGAGCAAACAGGAUUAGAUACCCGGGUAGUC